Molecule: ribosomal RNA, 867 nt
Filed under: uncultured archaeon
Lineage: Archaea
Description: bacterial SSU rRNA
Rfam family: Archaeal small subunit ribosomal RNA
Source: RNAcentral
CUCCGGUUGAUCCCGCGGGACCCGACUGCUAUCAGAGUGGGACUAAGCCAUGCGAGUCAACGUAGCAAUACGUGGCAUACGGCUCAGUAACACGUAGUCAACAUGCCCAGGGGACGAGGAUAACCUCGGGAAACUGAGGAUAAACCUCGAUAGGCCAUGAUUUCUGGAAUGAUUCUUGGCUCAAACCUAUAUGGCCCCUGGAUUGGACUGCGGCCGAUCAGGCUGUUGGUGAGGUAAUGGCCCACCAAACCUAUUACCGGUACGGGCUCUGAGAGGAGGAGCCCGGAGGUGGGCACUGAGACAAGGGCCCAGGCCCUAUGGGGCGCAGCAGGCGCGAAACCUCUGCAAUAGGCGAAAGCUUGACAGGGUUACUCUGAGUGAUUUCCGCUAAGGGAAUCUUUUGGCACCUCUAAAAAUGGUGCAGAAUAAGGGGUGGGCAAGUCUGGUGUCAGCCGCCGCGGUAAUACCAGCACCCCGAGUGGUCGGGACGAUUAUUGGGCCUAAAGCAUCCGUAGCCGGUCCUGCAAGUCUUCCGUUAAAUCCAGCUGCUCAACAGAUGGGCUGCGGGAGAUACUACAGGGCUAGGAGGCGGGAGAGGCAAGCGGUACUUUAUGGGUAGGGGUAAAAUCCGCUGAUCCAUAGAAGACCACCAGUGGCGAAGGCGGCUUGCCAGAAUGCGCUCGACGGUGAGGGAUGAAAGCUGGGGGAGCAAACCGGAUUAGAUACCCGGGUAGUCCCAGCCGUAAACGAUGCAGACUCGGUGAUGGGUUGGCUUCGCGCUAACCCAGUGCCGCAGGGAAGCCGUUAAGUCUGCCGCCUGGGGAGUACGGUCGCAAGACUGAAACUUAAGGAAUUGGCGGGGGAGCA